UAAGCUGAACGAUCAAAGGAA
Molecule: microRNA, 21 nt
Filed under: Strongyloides ratti
Lineage: Eukaryota; Metazoa; Nematoda; Chromadorea; Rhabditida; Strongyloididae
Description: str-miR-9-3p
Gene: str-miR-9-3p
Source: miRBase by way of RNAcentral